AGAGUUUGAUCAUGGCUCAGAAUGAACGCUGGCGGCGUGCCUAACACAUGCAAGUCGAACGAGAAAGGUAGCAAUACUGAGUACAGUGGCGCACGGGUGAGUAACACGUGAGAAUCUGCCCUUUAGUGGAGAAUACCUUCGAGAAAUCGAGGUUAAUACUGCAUAAGCCGGAAACGGGAAAGGUGGCCUAAAAGCUACCGCUGAAGGAUGAGCUCGCGGCCUAUUAGUUAGUUGGUGGGGUAAAGGCCUACCAAGGCGAAGAUGGGUAACCGGCCUGAGAGGGUGUACGGUCACACUGGAACUGAGACACGGUCCAGACUCCUACGGGAGGCAGCAGUGGGGAAUAUUGCACAAUGGGCGCAAGCCUGAUGCAGCGACGCCGCGUGGAGGAUGAAGGUUUUCGGAUUGUAAACUCCUGUUAAGUGGGAAGAAAGACGCAUGCUUAAUACGUAUGCGGGAUGACGGUACCACUAGAGAAAGCACCGGCAAACUUCGUGCCAGCAGCCGCGGUAAUACGAAGGGUGCGAGCGUUAUUCGGAAUGACUGGGUGUAAAGAGCGUGUAGGCGGUUUGGUAAGUCAGCUGUUAAAGAACCCAGCUUAACUGGGGACAUGCGGUUGAAACUGCUAGGCUAGAGUACGAGAGAGAAAGGUAGAAUUCUCGGAGUAGCGGUAAAAUGCGUAGAUCUCGAGAGGAAUACCGGUUGCGAAGGCGGCCUUUUGGCUCGUAACUGACGCUUGAGCGCGAAAGCGUGGGGAGCAAACAGGAUUAGAUACCCUAGUAGUCC
RNAcentral lists this ribosomal RNA (786 nucleotides) under uncultured bacterium. RNAcentral describes it as "bacterial SSU rRNA". It matches the Rfam family "Bacterial small subunit ribosomal RNA", at positions 8 to 796 of the family's 1533-position model. The record is from RNAcentral.